GAACUUUCUAGAGAUAGAUUGGUGCCUUCGGGAACGCAGUGACAGGUGCUGCAUGGCUGUCGUCAGCUCGUGUUGUGAAAUGUUGGGUUAAGUCCCGUAACGAGCGCAACCCUUAUCCUUAUUUGCCAGCACUUCGGGUGGGAACUCUAAGGAGACUGCCGGUGACAAACCGGAGGAAGGUGGGGACGACGUCAAGUCAUCAUGGCCCUUACGACCAGGGCUACACACGUGCUACAAUGGUAAAUACAAAGGGACGCUAAGCCGCGAGGUGGAGCUAAUCCCAGAAAAUUUAUCGUAGUCCGGAUUGGAGUCUGCAACUCGACUCCAUGAAGUCGGAAUCGCUAGUAAUCGUGGAUCAGAAUGCCACGGUGAAUACGUUCCCGGGCCUUGUACACACCGCCCGUCACACCAUGGGAGUGGAUUGCACCAGAAGUAGUUAGUCUAACCUUCGGGGGGACGAUUACCACGGUGUGGUUCAUGACUGGGGUGAAGUCGUAACAAGGUAGCCCUAGGGGAACCUGGGGCUGGAUCACCUCCUUAAACGAA
RNAcentral lists this ribosomal RNA (546 nucleotides) under Oleiphilus sp. HI0085. Its description in RNAcentral is "bacterial SSU rRNA". It matches the Rfam family "Bacterial small subunit ribosomal RNA", at positions 993 to 1533 of the family's 1533-position model. Lineage: Bacteria; Pseudomonadati; Pseudomonadota; Gammaproteobacteria; Oceanospirillales; Oleiphilaceae. The record is from RNAcentral.